Molecule: ribosomal RNA, 237 nt
Filed under: uncultured bacterium
Lineage: Bacteria
Description: partial 16S ribosomal RNA
Rfam family: Bacterial small subunit ribosomal RNA
Source: RNAcentral
CGGCGACGCCGAGCGGAACCCGAAAGCCGUUCUCAGUUCGGAUCGGAGUCUGCAACCCGACUCCGUGAAGCUGGAUUCGCUAGUAAUCGCGCAUCAGCCAUGGCGCGGUGAAUACGUUCCCGGGCCUUGUACACACCGCCCGUCAAGCCAUGGGAGCCGGGGGUGCUUGAAGUGCGUCGCCGCGAGGCGCGCCCUAGAGCAAAACCGGUGACUGGGGCUAAGUCGUAACAAGGUAAC